This 497-nucleotide ribosomal RNA is filed under the name uncultured bacterium. RNAcentral's name for it is "partial 16S ribosomal RNA". It matches the Rfam family "Bacterial small subunit ribosomal RNA", at positions 28 to 507 of the family's 1533-position model. The record is from RNAcentral.
GAUGAACGCUGGCGGCGUGCCUAAUACAUGCAAGUCGAGCGAACAGACGAGGAGCUUGCUCCUCUGACGUUAGCGGCGGACGGGUGAGUAACACGUGGAUAACCUACCUAUAAGACUGGGAUAACUUCGGGAAACCGGAGCUAAUACCGGAUAAUAUAUUGAGCCGCAUGGUUCAAUAGUGAAAGACGGUUUUGCUGUCACUUAUAGAUGGAUCCGCGCCGCAUUAGCUAGUUGGUAAGGUAACGGCUUACCAAGGCAACGAUGCGUAGCCGACCUGAGAGGGUGAUCGGCCACACUGGAACUGAGACACGGUCCAGACUCCUACGGGAGGCAGCAGUAGGGAAUCUUCCGCAAUGGGCGAAAGCCUGACGGAGCAACGCCGCGUGAGUGAUGAAGGUCUUCGGAUCGUAAAACUCUGUUAUUAGGGAAGAACAAAUGUAUAAGUAACUAUGCACGUCUUGACGGUACCUAAUCAGAAAGCCACGGCUAACUACGUG